RNAcentral lists this long non-coding RNA (317 nucleotides) under Malus domestica (apple). RNAcentral describes it as "long non-coding RNA (MDOM_LNC008258)". The record is from RNAcentral. Lineage: Eukaryota; Viridiplantae; Streptophyta; Magnoliopsida; Rosales; Rosaceae.
AUCAUUACAUUGAAUCAUUGCACUCAAUUGCUACACAAUUCCUUGUUCCCUCAAUCAUUUCAGAUUUCAUGCAUCAUUGCACUCAAUUGCUACACCACUCCAUGUUCCCCUCCAUUGUCAUGCACUUCCUCUAUAAAAUAAAGUGUGUGUAACAUAAAUUGAGUCAUACUUUGUUAGAUCAUUCACUCCCAUUUCAACACAACCUUCAUCCAAACAUAUCCAUUCAUCUUCACAUCCAUUCCUCCAUACAAACAAACCUUCAAACACUCACCAACACCUUGUGCCGUAGCAAAGGAAGGGAAGGAAAGUGCUUAGAC